AUGAUGAAGGAUCCCGAGGAAUUUCAGAGAGACGGAGUCGAAAGAAAUUACGUUGCCAUUAGACUUGAGUUCAACCACAUGCCACUUGCCAAACGAUGCUUCAGAGCAGUGGGAAUUGGAAGGCUAUCUGUAGUUGAGGUUCUUGGUAGAAAAGGUUCAAUGUUGCAGGUUAGCAGGCGUGUCACGACAAAUGGGCAGGGGCUGUUUCAGUUUGGUGAUUAUGUAUGGACAAGGUUUGGAGUCUUAGGCAUAACAUGA
This 258-nucleotide long non-coding RNA is filed under the name Vicia faba (fava bean). Lineage: Eukaryota; Viridiplantae; Streptophyta; Magnoliopsida; Fabales; Fabaceae. The record is from RNAcentral.